RNAcentral lists this ribosomal RNA (451 nucleotides) under uncultured bacterium. RNAcentral's name for it is "partial 16S ribosomal RNA". It matches the Rfam family "Bacterial small subunit ribosomal RNA", at positions 354 to 796 of the family's 1533-position model. The record is from RNAcentral.
GUGGGGAAUUUUGCGCAAUGGGGGAAACCCUGACGCAGCAACGCCGCGUGAGUGAUGAAGGCCUUCGGGUCGUAAAGCUCUGUCAGAGGGGAAGAAGUGUGGGGUGGCUAAUAUCCAUUUCACUUGACGGUACCUUCAAAGGAAGCACCGGCUAACUCCGUGCCAGCAGCCGCGGUAAUACGGAGGGUGCGAGCGUUGUUCGGAAUUAUUGGGCGUAAAGCGCGUGUAGGCGGUUUUUUAAGUCUGAUGUGAAAGCCCUGGGCUCAACCCGGGAAGUGCAUUGGAAACUGGGAGACUUGAAUACGGGAGAGGGCAGUGGAAUUCCUGGUGUAGGAGUGAAAUCCGUAGAUAUCAGGAGGAACACCGGUGGCGAAGGCGGCUGCCUGGACCGAUAUUGACGCUGAGACGCGAAAGCGUGGGGAGCAAACAGGAUUAGAUACCCGAGUAGUCC